AGGGAUUUAGCUCAGUGGCAUAAGCACCUGUCUUGCAAGCAUGAGGUCAUGAGUUCAAUCCCUA
RNAcentral lists this transfer RNA (64 nucleotides) under Cavia porcellus (domestic guinea pig). It matches the Rfam family "tRNA". From Rfam's summary of the family: Transfer RNA (tRNA) molecules are approximately 80 nucleotides in length. Their secondary structure includes four short double-helical elements and three loops (D, anti-codon, and T loops). Lineage: Eukaryota; Metazoa; Chordata; Mammalia; Rodentia; Caviidae. The record is from Rfam by way of RNAcentral.